Molecule: long non-coding RNA, 1742 nt
Organism: Physeter macrocephalus (sperm whale)
Lineage: Eukaryota; Metazoa; Chordata; Mammalia; Artiodactyla; Physeteridae
Exons: 4
Source: RefSeq, a predicted model, not a curated record
GCGAGUUAUUUAACCUCUCCAUGCAGAGUCGAACCCAGGGCUAGACAUCAGUUCCUAUUGACGAGGAAUCUGGGUUUGCAUGAGCUCGAUUCAACACACCUGGAUUACUUUCUUCACUUGGACUGAGGAAUCGCUGGGGGCUCAGAGGAGUCAAACAGCUUUCCCAAAGGCACCAGCCGGUCUCAUCCUUUGCCCUGACCUUCCAGAGGACUUGAACACGGCGGCCUGAGGCAGAGCCACAGGACCAGUUUCACCAGGAGCUGUCUCUGCAGCUAGCACAGGCUGCAGCCGUCCUCAGGAAGAAAAUGGUGACCUUGGACCAGGCUAGGGGAGUGGACACAUAGACUCGGGCACAGACAGAGGAACUUGGAGUCCAGAAGCAGCUGUGAGGGGACCCAAGGCCACCUUGGAAACAAUCAGCGUUGUCCUUCGAAGCAGUCACCGGAAGAGCCCGCAGAGCUGUUUUCACAACUGUCAGCUGAACAUAUUCCUGUACCCUCUCUGGCAACCUCAAAUAGAGUUUUCAAGCCGCCAAAGAGAGUGAGUCUCGUUACUUAGCAGAACUCAUCUUGUUUUUCCCCCAGAAGCACUGCCCCUGAUUUGAUAAUCAACCUGAUGCAAAACAUUGCACUCUCUCCUCAAAAACCAAAGCUUUGGGCCCACUGGGGCAAAUCAAAAGAAUGAGCCCCCAGCAAUUCCCAAAGAUGAACUGCUAGGGGGAUAUGGGGUGACAGCAGCACCAGUGUGGGUUUCUCAAGGCGGGUUCUCUGAUGGGGACAGUGGCAAUGUGGGGAAAGGACCUGGUCUAGGAAGUCACAGUCCCAGGGCAGGUAACCACAUCCGACACGCUGAAAUGACCAAGCCCUGAUGCAGGGCACUCACCAGAACCUUCCGCAACGUGGACAUGGCUGGGAAGGUCAGCCUCACAUCAGUGACCACCGUCGGCACCAACAGACCGUAUCUCCCCCAAAUGAGGCCCAUCAAAACCUAGCACUGGACAAAUCGGACCCCACAUCAUCCCACCAGUCAGUUUGGACCACAAAAGUUGCUGUGCAGAGAGGGUACACAACACACGCGUGCUGAAUGGGAUGGAGUCCGGGAAAGAUGAAAGGCUUAUCAUGUAUUGAUUUCAAAGUUCAACUUUUAUAACAGCAUAAAGUUAACCCUCUUCCCAACAUGGACAGUCAAGGGGGAGGACGUAAAAGGAGGCCCACCCUUUAGGUCUGACCCAAAAUGGGACUGAAAGGGCCUACAGGGGUCUCCCUGGGGCUCAAGUCCCAGCUCCGCCAUUUCCCAGCUGGGCUUACGAGUGGCUGACUAGCCACUGGGAGACAGGUCACCUACCUGUGGACAAAGGCCAUGGCCCUCCCUGACUUCCAGGAGCGGUAGUAUAUGUAAUCCAUUCAAGACAGGCCCUGGCAUGCUGUCCAGGCUCCAAAUAAAAUAAAGGAGGGGCUGCACUCCAUUGGGGAGCUUCAAACCGGCUUUCCUGGAUCUACAGCGGGUGCUGAGAUCCCCCCUCCCCACUUCUGCCUUAACCAGAACAGCUCCGCUCUUACCUCUUUUGCAUCUUGGCCUUCUACCUAAUAGCGUAUAUAAGAAAAUAUCUGAAAAUCACUGCACCAGCUAAUGCCUAGCACCUGUUCUGGCGAUGAGCUUGCUGUACAUCUAGGAUCCAGCUGGACCUCCCCUGACCUGGGUAUCUCUCCAUCCCCGUGGCCCCCGGCCCUCCCCGCCCUGCC